CCUACGGGAGGCUGCAGUGGGGAAUUUUGGACAAUGGGCGAAAGCCUGAUCCAGCCAUGCCGCGUGAGUGAAGAAGGCCUUCGGGUUGUAAAGCUCUUUCAGACGGAAAGAAAUAGCUUCGGUGAAUAUCCGAGGUUGAUGACGGUACCGUAAGAAGAAGCACCGGCUAACUACGUGCCAGCAGCCGCGGUAAUACGUAGGGUGCGAGCGUUAAUCGGAAUUACUGGGCGUAAAGCGUGCGCAGGCGGUUACAUAAGACAGAUGUGAAAUCCCCGGGCUUAACCUGGGAACUGCGUUUGUGACUGUGUGACUAGAGUACGGUAGAGGGGGGUGGAAUUCCUGGUGUAGCAGUGAAAUGCGUAGAUAUCAGGAGGAACAUCGAUGGCGAAGGCAGUCCCCUGGACCUGUACUGACGCUCAUGCACGAAAGCGUGGGGAGCAAACAGGAUUAGAUACCCCUGUAGUC
RNAcentral lists this ribosomal RNA (465 nucleotides) under uncultured Uliginosibacterium sp. RNAcentral's name for it is "bacterial SSU rRNA". It matches the Rfam family "Bacterial small subunit ribosomal RNA", at positions 338 to 795 of the family's 1533-position model. Lineage: Bacteria; Pseudomonadati; Pseudomonadota; Betaproteobacteria; Rhodocyclales; Zoogloeaceae. The record is from RNAcentral.